UGAAGCAGUACCAGGAGAAGUUCAAGGGGACGGCGCUCGCUGUCACCUGGAACUACCUGAGGGACUCCAUGGCCGCCUACCUCUCCCAGCCCAACCCCAUCACCUCCCGCUGGGAGGGAGAGGACCAUCUCAGGAACCCUAAAUUCCAGCUCGACGCCUUCAGAGUAAGCUCCUCCUCCUCCUCCGUCCCUCCUCUCCUUCUAGGGUUUCCUCUCCCGCUGAAGCAAGGCCUCUGCGACCUGCAGUAUCGCACCUCGCGGCUGCUUCAGACCGCCGCCAUGCGCCUGCGCAAGCACAGCAAGACGCUGGGGAGCUUCGGCGCCUG
Molecule: long non-coding RNA, 325 nt
Filed under: Spirodela polyrhiza (greater duckweed)
Lineage: Eukaryota; Viridiplantae; Streptophyta; Magnoliopsida; Alismatales; Araceae
Description: long non-coding RNA (SPOL_LNC001385)
Source: RNAcentral